ACUCCUACGGGAGGCAGCAGUGAGGAAUAUUGGGCAAUGGGCGAAAGCCUGACCCAGCCACGCCGCGUGAGUGAUGAAGGCCUUCGGGUUGUAAAGCUCUGUGGAGAGGGAAGAAAACUGGCGGAAUAAUACCUGACCAGCUUGACGGUACCUCUUUAGCAAGCACCGGCUAACUCUGUGCCAGCAGCCGCGGUAAUACAGAGGGUGCGAACGUUGCUCGGAAUUACUGGGCGUAAAGCGCGUGUAGGCUGAUAUGUAAGUCAGAUGUGAAAUCCCCGGGCUCAACCUGGGAACUGCAUUUGAAACUGCAUGUCUAGAGUGAUGGAGAGGGAAGUGGAAUUCCAGGUGUAGAGGUGAAAUUCAAUAGAUAUCUGGAGGAACAUCAGUGGCGAAGGCGACUUCCUGGACAUUUACUGACGCUGAGACGCGAAAGCGUGGGGAGCAAACAGGAUUAGAUACCCUGGUAGGAUAGCGU
Molecule: ribosomal RNA, 475 nt
Filed under: uncultured bacterium
Lineage: Bacteria
Description: bacterial SSU rRNA
Rfam family: Bacterial small subunit ribosomal RNA
Source: RNAcentral